Molecule: ribosomal RNA, 253 nt
Filed under: uncultured bacterium
Lineage: Bacteria
Description: partial 16S ribosomal RNA
Rfam family: Bacterial small subunit ribosomal RNA
Source: RNAcentral
GACAGAGGGUGCGAACGUUGUUCGGAAUUACUGGGCGUACAGCGCGUGUAGGCGGCAGCGCAAGUCGGGCGUGAAAUCCCACGGCUCAACCGUGGAAGUGCACUCGAAACUGCGCAGCUAGAGUCCUGGAGAGGAAGGUGGAAUGCUUGGUGUAGAGGUGAAAUUCGUAGAUAUCAAGCGGAACACCGGUGGCGAAGGCGGCCUUUUGGACAGUGACUGACGCUGAGAUGCGAAAGCGUGGGGAGCAAACAGG